RNAcentral lists this ribosomal RNA (458 nucleotides) under uncultured bacterium. RNAcentral's name for it is "bacterial SSU rRNA". It matches the Rfam family "Bacterial small subunit ribosomal RNA", at positions 30 to 506 of the family's 1533-position model. The record is from RNAcentral.
AUGAACGCUAGCGAGAUGCUUAACACAUGCAAGUCAGGAAGAUAUUAGAUAUCUAUCGGCGCAAAGGUGAGUAAUAUAUAGAAACAUACCUCUAUGCUAGUCUUUAAAUAGGCUAAUAGUAAUGUAUAUUGAAAUAGUAUAUGUAAAGUAUAUUAAAGUAGGAAUAUAUUAUAAAGAGAGAAUCGUGUAGAGAUUGGUUUAUAGUGGAUUAGGUAGUUGGAUUGGUAAAAGCAGUCCAAGCCGAAGAUCCAUAGCUGAUUUGAGAGGAUGAUCAGCCACAUUGGCACUGAGACAACGGCCAAAGGCUCUUAAGAGUCACAGCAGUGGGGAAUAUUGGACAAUGGACGAAAGUCUGAUCCAGCAAUCUCGCAUGGGUGAAGAAGGCCAUAUUGGUCGUAAAACCCUUUUGACCAUGUAGAUAAUGACAACAUGGAGGAAGAAGUCCUGGCUAAUUCCGU